GUCGAGCGGUAGCACAAGAGAGCUUGCUCUCUGGGUGACGAGCGGCGGACGGGUGAGUAAUGUCUGGGAAACUGCCUGAUGGAGGGGGAUAACUACUGGAAACGGUAGCUAAUACCGCAUGACGUCUUCGGACCAAAGUGGGGGACCUUCGGGCCUCACGCCAUCAGAUGUGCCCAGAUGGGAUUAGCUAGUAGGUGGGGUAAUGGCUCACCUAGGCGACGAUCUCUAGCUGGUCUGAGAGGAUGACCAGCCACACUGGAACUGAGACACGGUCCAGACUCCUACGGGAGGCAGCAGUGGGGAAUAUUGCACAAUGGGCGCAAGCCUGAUGCAGCCAUGCCGCGUGUAUGAAGAAGGCCUUCGGGUUGUAAAGUACUUUCAGCGAGGAGGAAGGCAUUAAGGUUAAUAACCUUGGUGAUUGACGUUACUCGCAGAAGAAGCACCGGCUAACUCCGUGCCAGCAGCCGCGGUAAUACGGAGGGUGCAAGCGUUAAUCGGAAUUACUGGGCGUAAAGCGCACGCAG
Molecule: ribosomal RNA, 524 nt
Filed under: Hafnia paralvei
Lineage: Bacteria; Pseudomonadati; Pseudomonadota; Gammaproteobacteria; Enterobacterales; Hafniaceae
Description: bacterial SSU rRNA
Rfam family: Bacterial small subunit ribosomal RNA
Source: RNAcentral